AUUGAACGCUGGCGGCAGGCCUAACACAUGCAAGUCGAACGGUAACAGGAAGCAGCUUGCUGCUUCGCUGACGAGUGGCGGACGGGUGAGUAAUGUCUGGGAAGCUGCCUGAUGGAGGGGGAUAACUACUGGAAACGGUAGCUAAUACCGCAUAAUGUCGCAAGACCAAAGAGGGGGACCUUCGGGCCUCUUGCCAUCGGAUGUGCCCAGAUGGGAUUAGCUUGUUGGUGGGGUAACGGCUCACCAAGGCGACGAUCCCUAGCUGGUCUGAGAGGAUGACCAGCCACACUGGGACUGAGACACGGUCCAGACUCCUACGGGAGGCAGCAGUGGGGAAUAUUGCACAAUGGGCGCAAGCCUGAUGUAGCCAUGCCGCGUGUAUGAAGAAGGCCUUCGGGUUGUAAAGUACUUUCAGCGGGGAGGAAGGGAGUAAAGUUAAUACCUUUGCUCAUUGACGUUACCCGCAGAAGAAGCACCGGCUAACUCCGUG
This 490-nucleotide ribosomal RNA is filed under the name uncultured bacterium. RNAcentral's name for it is "partial 16S ribosomal RNA". It matches the Rfam family "Bacterial small subunit ribosomal RNA", at positions 30 to 507 of the family's 1533-position model. The record is from RNAcentral.